Long non-coding RNA from Camelus dromedarius (Arabian camel), 2536 nucleotides. RefSeq lists it as uncharacterized. The transcript has 3 exons. Lineage: Eukaryota; Metazoa; Chordata; Mammalia; Artiodactyla; Camelidae. The record is from RefSeq and is a predicted model, not a curated record.
CACCUGGGGUGUCUGCAGAGCCUCGGCAUCCCGGCCAGGCGUUGGGGACUGCAGAGAGGGUACGUCUCGGCCGAGGCCAGCGGCCAGGACAACGGCGGGGGACUCACCUGCAGCAGCACGGCCAGCAGGAAGCACAGAAAUAAUCAGUUCCUCAAAUGCUCUUAGAACCAGCUUUACCGUGUUACCGGUACCUUCAUCCAUUAAAAUAAAAUUGUUGGCAUGAGUUCAUUUUGUGGUGGACAUUCAUUUAAGUCAGAGAUUCAUUCCUGAGCGCCCAACUUUAAUGAAAAGGUCAGUGGUGGCGGUGCUACUCUUACUACUGCUGUGCUAUUUCCUACACAACUGAAAGGGAGAAUUUUCUCUACACAGGGGGGUCGAUCAGUUGAGGCUAUGAUUCAGUAGUGUGGGGAUAAAAAUUUGCCUUAUACUGGGACAAAUGCCUCAAAGUUGCCCAGGAUUAAAAUCUGAAUGCUACUGGAACUGCCUGAACCACUUUAGUUGGUAGAAUAUUGCACAAAGAUGAUGGUAACCUGCAUAUCCAGACUCUUAACUCCAACUGGGCUUUCUAAAUUAAAACCAGCAAUUUGCAUUGACUUCAGAAAACAGGGGGCCAAAGUAGAUCUCAGAGACUCAACUUUGAUAUCCUGGAUCUGCUCAGUCUCAGAAAGAAGUGUCCAAUCCCAAAACCAUUCUGAAAAAUCCUAAAUAUUAGAAUUCAUUCAACAAUGCUUGCUGAGCAACCACUAUGUGCUGGGUGCAUUGUUCUAGGUGUGAGGGAUCCAGGGUUAAAUCAGCAAAGCCUCUCCCUCUCCCUAGUGGCACUUGCCUUCCAGUGAAGACUUUCUUGGCUGCAAUACCUGAUGGGUAGGGUAAGGUCGAGUGAGUGAGAGCAGGGUGGAGUUGUUGACUUUGGAAAUUUGCAUACUUGCAUGACUGUCUGAUCAUGAAGUGGACCCAAAAUCAAAACACAGCAAUGUGAACCAAGUAGAUUAUAAAGAAGGAAGGUAUCCAUUAUGUUGUCUUCAGUCUAAAGGCUCUUAUCACUAUGUUUAUCUGCCUUAAGAAGAAUUAGCCAAAUCUCAUCUCCCUGUAGUAGUGAAAGUCACUUGGUAGAAAGUUACACUUAAUGCACAAAUUCACAAAGAGAAUUUGCAUGAUUUUCAGUACCAAGUUAAUCCCUAAUUUACUGGCACACAGCAAUUUGAGCCAAAAGAUUAUAUUGCAUCUUAAGUGAUAUAAGCUCAUCUUCAUCCGUUUUCAUUUGAGAAGAGUGUCUCAUUCUCCGCCAAUCAGAGUAAAUCAAAUCCUCCUGUCACUUGCCUGUUCCAGCACAAGAUUUUGAAUGUUUUCAGUUUCAUUUUCUACUCCUACCAGGCCUGAGAAUCUCACUUCACUUUUUUUUUUUUUUUUUUUUAGUCACAGGACCUUUUGCAAAUCUAGUGAAAGUUAAUGUAUUUUUCUCAGGAAAAUGAGAGGGUGUGCUUAUACACACAUACAUUUUUCCCUUGGUUUUACUCCUAUGUUAUUGGCAAUUUCUUUUUUUUGUUUUGUUUUGUUUUGAAUUGAAGUAUAGUUGAUUUGCAGUGUUGCGUUACGCACACAUGUUUUGAAUGCCAUUUUUUCAGAAAUCACUGAGUCCAACCCCCCCACUAUAAACAUGUUCAAUUAAGAUUGUGGGAGGUUAGAGAACAGGUUUUAGGUGAUUCAGGAGUCUACUGAAAGUCACAUAGGUAGCUGGCACAGCAGGACAUAAACCAAGUACUCAAAAGUCUGUGGGUUUUGUUUUUUGUUUGUUUGUUUGUUUUUGUUUUUACUACCUGAGACCACACUCUGGUAUAGGCCCCAUCUCUAAACCAUUUUUUUUUCUUACCUGGAAAUAUUAAUAUAGAGCAACAUUAUCUUUGCAACACAUUUGCACUCUGAUUCCUUUGUAAACAGAGUAAAUGUGUCCCCAGACCCACGAUUUUAAGGUCUGGGCUUUAGCUAGGAGGGGCUUCCCCCGCUGUCUCCCAGGCCAGAAACUCUAUCUCGUUGGGCAUAUAUGCGAAUUAGUGAUGGGACUGCAGUCACAAACGUGUGCAGGAGGAGUGCUCGUCUGCUGUGUUUGCAGCCAGAGAAUGGAAUAGCAUGGUAGCUCUCCUUUGUGGAUUAUUCCUUACUCAACAGCCAUUCUGCUUUUGACCUGAAAAACUGGGCCACAGAGAUCCUGCCCCAUCAGGCAUCUUUCUAUUGGGCUGUGAAAGUCUAGCACAUGGCUAAUUACAAUUUGCACCUCCUUCCAUGCUCUAACAAUCCACGAAAAGAUGUUUUGUCUCUUUGGUUUACUGUUUGGAGUACUUUUUUGCAGACAAAGCAGUACACAGUUCCUUUGGAGGUACUUUGUAAUUUCAAAUGAUGGUAGAAGACGAUGAUCUUCUGUCUGGGUUCUUAAUUAUGUAUUCUCCGCCUGGCCUGUUAAAUGACUGUGUUUCUAAUGAUGUGUCAUUGCCAUGUACAGCAUCCUGGUAACGAGCUUGCCUUUUCCUCACCAUCUUCU